This 448-nucleotide ribosomal RNA is filed under the name uncultured bacterium. RNAcentral's name for it is "partial 16S ribosomal RNA". It matches the Rfam family "Bacterial small subunit ribosomal RNA", at positions 329 to 793 of the family's 1533-position model. The record is from RNAcentral.
GCCCAGACUCCUACGGGAGGCAGCAGUGGGGGAUAUUGCACAAUGGGGGAAACCCUGAUGCAGCGACGCCGCGUGGGUGAAGGAGCGUUUCGGCGCGUAAAGCCCUAUCGGCAGGGAAGAAGGAGGACGGUACCUGAAGAAGAAGCCCCGGCUAACUACGUGCCAGCAGCCGCGGUAAUACGUAGGGGGCAAGCGUUAUCCGGAUUUACUGGGUGUAAAGGGGGCGCAGACGGCAGCGCAAGCCAGGAGUGAAAGCCCGGGGCCCAACCCCGGGACUGCUCUUGGAACUGCGCGGCUGGAGUGCAGGAGGGGCAGGCGGAAUUCCUGGUGUAGCGGUGAAAUGCGUAGAUAUCAGGAGGAACACCGGUGGCGAAGGCGGCCUGCUGGACAUUAACUGACGCUGAGGCGCGAAAGCGUGGGGAGCAAACAGGAUUAGAUACCCGUGUAU